GGGUUGUGAGGUUAAGCGACUAAGCGUACACGGUGGAUGCCCUGGCAGUCAGAGGCGAUGAAGGGCGUGCUAAUCUGCGAUAAGCGCCGGUAAGGUGAUAUGAACCGUUAUAACCGGCGAUACCCGAAUGGGGAAACCCAGUGUGAUUCGUCACACUAUCAUUAACUGAAUCCAUAGGUUAAUGAGGCGAACCGGGGGAACUGAAACAUCUAAGUACCCCGAGGAAAAGAAAUCAACCGAGAUUCCCCCAGUAGCGGCGAGCGAACGGGGAGGAGCCCAGAGCCUGAAUCAGCAUGUGUGUUAGUGGAAGCGUCUGGAAAGGCGCGCGAUACAGGGUGACAGCCCCGUACACAAAAGCGCAUAUGCUGUGAGCUCGAUGAGUAGGGCGGGACACGUGGUAUCCUGUCUGAAUAUGGGGGGACCAUCCUCCAAGGCUAAAUACUCCUGACUGACCGAUAGUGAACCAGUACCGUGAGGGAAAGGCGAAAAGAACCCCGGCGAGGGGAGUGAAAAAGAACCUGAAACCGUGUACGUACAAGCAGUGGGAGCCCCACCACUAAGCCAGUGGUGAACUCCACAUACGCAUCCUUUGCUGAGGAGACGGUUAACGGAGCGAAAGCGACGUUCAACCUCAAAAGAAGCAGAGGGGGCUUAGUGGUGGGGUGACUGCGUACCUUUUGUAUAAUGGGUCAGCGACUUAUAUUCUGUAGCAAGGUUAACUGUAUAGGGGAGCCGGAGGGAAACCGAGUCUUAACCGGGCGUUAAGUUGCAGGGUAUAGACCCGAAACCCGGUGAUCUAGCCAUGGGCAGGUUGAAGGUUGGGUAACACUAACUGGAGGACCGAACCGACUAAUGUUGAAAAAUUAGCGGAUGACCUGUGGCUGGGGGUGAAAGGCCAAUCAAACCGGGAGAUAGCUGGUUCUCCCCGAAAGCUAUUUAGGUAGCGCCUCGUGAAUUCAUCUCCGGGGGUAGAGCACUGUUUCGGCUAGGGGGCCAUCCCGGCUUACCAACCCGAUGCAAACUGCGAAUACCGGAGAAUGUUAUCACGGGAGACACACGGCGGGUGCUAAUGUCCGUCGUGAAGAGGGAAACAACCCAGACCGCCAGCUAAGGUCCCAAAGUCAUGGUUAAGUGGGAAACGAUGUGGGAAGGCCCAGACAGCCAGGAUGUUGGCUUAGAAGCAGCCAUCAUUUAAAGAAAGCGUAAUAGCUCACUGGUCGAGUCGGCCUGCGCGGAAGAUGUAACGGGGCUAAACCAUGCACCGAAGCUGCGGCAGCGACACCGUGUGUUGUUGGGUAGGGGAGCGUUCUGUAAGCCUGUGAAGGUGUGCUGUGAGGCAUGCUGGAGGUAUCAGAAGUGCGAAUGCUGACAUAAGUAACGAUAAAGCGGGUGAAAAGCCCGCUCGCCGGAAGACCAAGGGUUCCUGUCCAACGUUAAUCGGGGCAGGGUGAGUCGACCCCUAAGGCGAGGCCGAAAGGCGUAGUCGAUGGGAAACGGGUUAAUAUUCCCGUACUUGGUGUUACUGCGAAGGGGGGACGGAGAAGGCUAUGUUGGCCGGGCGACGGUUGUCCCGGUUUAAGCGUGUAGGUAUGUGUUCCAGGUAAAUCCGGUUCACUUUAACACUGAGGCGUGACGACGAGGCACUACGGUGCUGAAGCAACAAAUGCCCUGCUUCCAGGAAAAGCCUCUAAGCAUCAGGUAACAUCAAAUCGUACCCCAAACCGACACAGGUGGUCAGGUAGAGAAUACCAAGGCGCUUGAGAGAACUCGGGUGAAGGAACUAGGCAAAAUGGUGCCGUAACUUCGGGAGAAGGCACGCUGACACGUAGGUGAAGUGAUUUACUCACGGAGCUGAAGUCAGCCGAAGAUACCAGCUGGCUGCAACUGUUUAUUAAAAACACAGCACUGUGCAAACACGAAAGUGGACGUAUACGGUGUGACGCCUGCCCGGUGCCGGAAGGUUAAUUGAUGGGGUCAGCGCAAGCGAAGCUCCUGAUCGAAGCCCCGGUAAACGGCGGCCGUAACUAUAACGGUCCUAAGGUAGCGAAAUUCCUUGUCGGGUAAGUUCCGACCUGCACGAAUGGCGUAAUGAUGGCCAGGCUGUCUCCACCCGAGACUCAGUGAAAUUGAACUCGCUGUGAAGAUGCAGUGUACCCGCGGCAAGACGGAAAGACCCCGUGAACCUUUACUAUAGCUUGACACUGAACAUUGAGCCUUGAUGUGUAGGAUAGGUGGGAGGCUUUGAAGUGUGGACGCCAGUCUGCAUGGAGCCGACCUUGAAAUACCACC
RNAcentral lists this ribosomal RNA (2289 nucleotides) under Salmonella enterica subsp. enterica serovar Typhi. RNAcentral describes it as "partial 23S ribosomal RNA". It matches the Rfam family "Bacterial large subunit ribosomal RNA", at positions 1 to 2204 of the family's 2925-position model. Lineage: Bacteria; Pseudomonadati; Pseudomonadota; Gammaproteobacteria; Enterobacterales; Enterobacteriaceae. The record is from RNAcentral.